UACGUAGGGUGCAAGCGUUAUCCGGAAUUAUUGGGCGUAAAGGGUGCGUAGACGGCUGUGCAAGCCAGAUGUGAAAGCCCGCAGCUCAACUGCGGGACUGCUUUUGAAACUGCCAAGCUAGAGUGUCGGAGAGGUAAGUGGAAUUCCUAGUGUAGCGGUGAAAUGCGUAGAUAUUAGGAGGAACACCAGUGGCGAAGGCGGCUUACUGGACGAUGACUGACGCUGAGGCUCGAAAGCGUGGGGAGCAAACAGG
Molecule: ribosomal RNA, 253 nt
Filed under: uncultured Lachnospiraceae bacterium
Lineage: Bacteria; Bacillati; Bacillota; Clostridia; Lachnospirales; Lachnospiraceae
Description: partial 16S ribosomal RNA
Rfam family: Bacterial small subunit ribosomal RNA
Source: RNAcentral